This 1433-nucleotide unclassified non-coding RNA is filed under the name Hevea brasiliensis (rubber tree). Lineage: Eukaryota; Viridiplantae; Streptophyta; Magnoliopsida; Malpighiales; Euphorbiaceae. The record is from RNAcentral.
AAAAAAAAAAAAAAAAAAGAAAGGCAGUUUCUUUGUGUGGGAACUGUAAUUUGGCAGCAACCCUCCUUGAAUCUUCGAUUAGCCGCCAUAAUUUCGCUUCCUUACAAAACCUCUACUUUUUCCACGUUCGCUCAGAACUUUUCCAUCGCUUUUUCCCGAGAAACAAAGAUGGCCUUUCGCUCCUCCCUCUUACGCCUCAGAUCGCAUCUCCUCUGCACCACCAGCAGCAGCAGCAGCAGGUUUUUCCAGUCUAAUUCUCCAAUCCUAUCCACCAUCAAAUCUGAACGUUUGCUUCUCUUCCCUCUUUCAGAUCUCCAUGCAAUCUCUAUGGAAUUUCCCUCACUCGCCGGUCUCCGAUUCUUCUCCACCGCCCGACGUCACCCUACCCGGCCGAAGAACGUCGACAUAGGGGCCCGAGCCCGUCAACUCCAAACACGCCGCCUCUGGACCUAUGCUUUGACGUUCAGUUGCAUCGCGGGUUUUAUCGUUAUCGUUUUAAACAACUUUCAAGAUCAAUUAGUGUUUUACGUGACCCCAACAGAUGCCAUGGAAAAAUACAAAGCGAACCCACAAAAGAGCAAAUUCAGAUUAGGUGGUUUAGUUCUCGAAGGAAGCGUGGUUCAACCCGUUUCUUCGCCUGAAAUGGAGUUUGUAAUUACAGAUUUGGUCACUGAUAUUUUGGUCCGGUAUCAGGGAUCGCUGCCCGACUUGUUUAGAGAAGGGCAUUCGGUGGUGGUCGAAGGGUUUGUGAAACCAUUCACGGAGGAGUUAAGGAAGGAGGUGGGAGCGAGAAGCGUUUCAGGGAAAGCUAGGAGCGGGAAGUGUUACUUCUCUGCUACGGAGGUUUUGGCUAAGCAUGAUGAGAAGUAUAUGCCUAAGGAGGUGGCGGCGGCAAUUGAAAAGAAUAAACAGCGAAUUGAAGCUGGUGAAGGAAGAGAAGAGGAACAUGUAAACUAAUUGGUACUAUUCUAAUUUUGAUUAAUUGAUUCUAUUCUAUAGUUGAAGGCAGAGGAUUGACGGCUACAAUUUGAAUUUUUAUAAUUUAGUGACAUUUGGUUUUUGAGAUACACAUUUAUAUGAAGCAGGAGGAAUGAUUGAUUAUAAUUGGCUAGUUGAAUUUUGUUCUUCACAAUUGUUCAGGCAAUACUCAUUGGUUUUGAGCGAGAGAUAAUUCGAUCAUUUGACGCUACUACUAUUCUUGUUUUUUGAUGUUGUAAUUUCACAUUCAUUCAUGAGUUGACCUUAUAAUUAAUUUGAGUAAGGAAUAAUUCCACUGAGGAAUAUACAUGUAGAUUAAUGAAUCUGCCACAGAUUUUGAAAACUUUUGCAAUAUCUUUUGGAAGGAAAUUAUAGAAAUUUCAUAUUUGUUUUAUGGAAAUGAUUCGAAUUGUGUUUUUGUGUAUGAUUGAUUUGAGAUGUGGAAUGGAUUGAUA